Molecule: small RNA, 259 nt
Filed under: Chinchilla lanigera (long-tailed chinchilla)
Lineage: Eukaryota; Metazoa; Chordata; Mammalia; Rodentia; Chinchillidae
Description: 7SK RNA (ENSCLAG00000021802.1)
Rfam family: 7SK RNA (bases 1-188)
About the family: 7SK was discovered as an abundant small nuclear RNA in the mid-70s but a possible function has only recently been suggested. Two independent studies have found that 7SK RNA binds the CDK9/cyclin T complex (known as elongation factor P-TEFb).
Source: RNAcentral
GGAUGUGAGGGAGAUCUGGCUGAGACAUCUGUCACCCCACUGAUCACCGGGCUUGAUUUGGCUGAUCUGGCUGGAUAGGCGGGUGUCCCCUUCCUCCCUCAAGGCUCCAUGUGCUUCCCUCACAAAGCUGCACACUCAGUCAAAGAGGACAACCACCCCCAAUAGAGGAGGACCUUUUCUUUUUCUUUUAUUUUAUUCUCUGGCUCUUUUUACCUCCCACAGAAAAACUGGUUAUGUAAGGUUUUAGAAAUAGCUAAGU